UGCAGUCGAGCGAACAGACGAGGAGCUUGCUCCUUUGACGUUAGCGGCGGACGGGUGAGUAACACGUGGGUAACCUACCUAUAAGACUGGGAUAACUUCGGGAAACCGGAGCUAAUACCGGAUAAUAUUUCGAACCGCAUGGUUCGAUAGUGAAAGAUGGCUCUGCUAUCACUUAUAGAUGGACCUGCGCCGUAUUAGCUAGUUGGUAAGGUAACGGCUUACCAAGGCAACGAUACGUAGCCGACCUGAGAGGGUGAUCGGCCACACUGGAACUGAGACACGGUCCAGACUCCUACGGGAGGCAGCAGUAGGGAAUCUUCCGCAAUGGGCGAAAGCCUGACGGAGCAACGCCGCGUGAGUGAUGAAGGUCUUCGGAUCGUAAAACUCUGUUAUUAGGGAAGAACAAACGUGUAAGUAACUGUGCACGUCUUGACGGUACCUAAUCAGAAAGCCACGGCUAACUACGUGCCAGCAGCCGCGGUAAUACGUAGGUGGCAAGCGUUAUCCGGAAUUAUUGGGCGUAAAGCGCGCGUAGGCGGUUUUUUAAGUCUGAUGUGAAAGCCCACGGCUCAACCGUGGAGGGUCAUUGGAAACUGGAAAACUUGAGUGCAGAAGAGGAAAGUGGAAUUCCAUGUGUAGCGGUGAAAUGCGCAGAGAUAUGGAGGAACACCAGUGGCGAAGGCGACUUUCUGGUCUGUAA
This 700-nucleotide ribosomal RNA is filed under the name bacterium IBRC-M MD1. RNAcentral describes it as "bacterial SSU rRNA". It matches the Rfam family "Bacterial small subunit ribosomal RNA", at positions 56 to 739 of the family's 1533-position model. The record is from RNAcentral.